GGAAUAUUGGACAAUGGGGGCAACCCUGAUCCAGCAAUGCCGCGUGGGUGAAGAAGGUCUUCGGAUUGUAAAGCCCUUUCGACAGGGACGAUGAUGACGGUACCUGUAGAAGAAGCCCCGGCUAACUUCGUGCCAGCAGCCGCGGUAAUACGAAGGGGGCUAGCGUUGCUCGGAAUUACUGGGCGUAAAGGGCGCGUAGGCGGCGCUGCAAGUCAGGCGUGAAAUUCCUGGGCUUAACCUGGGGGCUGCGCUUGAGACUGUGGUGCUAGAGGACGGAAGAGGGUCGUGGAAUUCCCAGUGUAGAGGUGAAAUUCGUAGAUAUUGGGAAGAACACCGGUGGCGAAGGCGGCGACCUGGUCCGUUACUGACGCUGAGGCGCGACAGCGUGGGGAGCAAAC
Molecule: ribosomal RNA, 398 nt
Filed under: uncultured bacterium
Lineage: Bacteria
Description: bacterial SSU rRNA
Rfam family: Bacterial small subunit ribosomal RNA
Source: RNAcentral